GACGAACGCUGGCGGCGUGCUUAACACAUGCAAGUCGAACGGAAAGGCCCUGCUUUUGUGGGGUGCUCGAGUGGCGAACGGGUGAGUAACACGUGAGUAACCUGCCCUUGACUUUGGGAUAACUUCAGGAAACUGGGGCUAAUACCGGAUAGGAGCUCCUGCUGCAUGGUGGGGGUUGGAAAGUUUCGGCGGUUGGGGAUGGACUCGCGGCUUAUCAGCUUGUUGGUGGGGUAGUGGCUUACCAAGGCUUUGACGGGUAGCCGGCCUGAGAGGGUGACCGGCCACAUUGGGACUAAGAUACGGCCCAGACUCGUACGGGAGGCAGCAGUGGGGAAUAUUGCACAAUGGGCGGGAGCCUGAUGCAGCAACGCCGCGUGCGGGAUGACGGCCUUCGGGUUGUAAACCGCUUUCGCCUGUGACGAAGCGUGAGUGACGGUAAUGGGUAAAGAAGCACCGGCUAACUACGUG
This 468-nucleotide ribosomal RNA is filed under the name uncultured bacterium. Its description in RNAcentral is "partial 16S ribosomal RNA". It matches the Rfam family "Bacterial small subunit ribosomal RNA", at positions 28 to 507 of the family's 1533-position model. The record is from RNAcentral.